This 1467-nucleotide ribosomal RNA is filed under the name human gut metagenome. RNAcentral describes it as "bacterial LSU rRNA". It matches the Rfam family "Bacterial large subunit ribosomal RNA", at positions 1147 to 2641 of the family's 2925-position model. The record is from RNAcentral.
AGUCGAGAGGUCCUGCGCCGAAAAUGUCCGGGGCUGAAACACGACACCGAAGCUUAGGACUCCUUUUAGGAGUGGUAGAGGAGCAUUGUUAGCGCAGCGAAGCUGUACCGAUAAGGAGCAGUGGAGUGCUAAGAAGAGAGAAUGCCGGAAUGAGUAGCGAGAGGAAGGUGAGAAUCCUUCCGGCCGAAUAUCCAAGGUUUCCAGAGUAAAGCUGAUCUGCUCUGGGUAAGUCGGGGCCUAAGGCGAGGUCGAAAGACGUAGUCGAUGGAUAACAGGUGGAGAUUCCUGUACUAUGUGUACCCAGAACUGUGGGGACGCAUGUGGAGAGCAUGAGCCGGGAAAGAGAAGACCGGUACAAGCGGGGUAGGAGUAAGGACAGCAAAUCUUCCUUACAAUCCGAAGACGUGAUGUGGACCGAACCAAAGUAGGGAAGCAUGUGAGCCAUGUGCCAAGAAAAGCCGCUAUUGUGAUACACAUACCCGUACCGUAAACCGACACAGGUGGAUGAGGAGAGAAUCCUAAGGCCGACGGAAGAAGCAUUGUUAAGGAACUCGGCAAAAUGACCCCGUAACUUCGGGAGAAGGGGUGCCUGCGAGAGCAGGCCGCAGAGAAUAGGCUCAAGCAACUGUUUAGCAAAAACACAGGUCUAUGCGAAACCGAAAGGUGAGGUAUAUGGGCUGACGCCUGCCCGGUGCUGGAAGGUUAAGAGGAGAGGUUAGCGCAAGCGAAGCUUUGAAUUUAAGCCCCAGUAAACGGCGGCCGUAACUAUAACGGUCCUAAGGUAGCGAAAUUCCUUGUCGGGUAAGUUCCGACCCGCACGAAAGGCGUAAUGAUUUGAGCACUGUCUCGACAAUGCAUCCGGUGAAAUUGAAGUACCAGUGAAGAUGCUGGUUACCUGCGCCAGGACGGAAAGACCCCAUGGAGCUUUACUCCAGCUUGAUACUGGGAUUCGAUACUGUAUGUACAGGAUAGGUGGGAGACGUUGAGCAUAGAACGCCAGUUUUAUGUGAGUCGCUGUUGGGAUACCACCCUUGCAGUAUUGGAUUUCUAACCUGCACCCAUGACCUGGGUGGGGGACAAUGUCUGGCGGGGAGUUUGACUGGGGCGGUCGCCUCCGAAAGGGUAUCGGAGGCGCUCAAAGGUUCCCUCAGAAUGGUUGGAAACCAUUCGAAGAGUGCAAAGGCAGAAGGGAGCUUGACUGCGACACCGACGGGUGGAGCAGGUACGAAAGUAGGACUUAGUGAUCCGGUGGUAUAAAGUGGGAUUGCCAUCGCUCAACGGAUAAAAGCUACCCUGGGGAUAACAGGCUUAUCACUCCCAAGAGUUCACAUCGACGGAGUGGUUUGGCACCUCGAUGUCGGCUCAUCGCAUCCUGGGGCUGUAGUAGGUCCCAAGGGUUGGGCUGUUCGCCCAUUAAAGCGGUACGCGAGCUGGGUUCAGAACGUCGUGAGACAGUUCGGUCCCUAU